RNAcentral lists this long non-coding RNA (562 nucleotides) under Mytilus galloprovincialis (Mediterranean mussel). The record is from RNAcentral. Lineage: Eukaryota; Metazoa; Mollusca; Bivalvia; Mytilida; Mytilidae.
AUUUUUUAGCUCACCUGGCCCGAAGGGCCAAGUGAGCUUUUCUCAUCACUUGGCGUCCGUCGUCCGUCGUCGUCCGUCGUCGUCGUCGUCCGUCGUCGUUAACUUUUACAAAAAUCUUCUCCUCUGAAACUACUGGGCCAAAUCAAACCAAACUUGGCCACAAUCAUCAUUGGGGUAUCUAGUUUAAAAAAUGUGUGGCGUGACUCGGUCAACCAACCAAGAUGGCCGCCACGGCUAAAAAUAGAACAUAGGGGUAAAAUGCAGUUUUUGGCUUAUAACUCAAAAACCAAAGCAUUUAGAGCAAAUCUGACAGGGGUAAAAAUGUUUAUCAGGUCAAGAUCUAUCUGCCCUGAAAUUUUCAGAUGAAUCGGUCAAUCGGUUGUUGGGUUGCUGCCCCUGAAUUGGUAAUUUUGAGGAAAUUUUGCUGUUUUUUGGUUAUUAUCUUGAAUAUUAUUAUAGAUAGAGAUAAACUGUAAACAGCAAUAAUGUUCAGCAAAGUAAGAUCUACAAAUAAGUCAACAUGACAAAAAUGGUCAGUUGACCCGUUUAGGAGUUAUUGCCC